This 305-nucleotide ribosomal RNA is filed under the name uncultured bacterium. RNAcentral describes it as "bacterial SSU rRNA". It matches the Rfam family "Bacterial small subunit ribosomal RNA", at positions 336 to 658 of the family's 1533-position model. The record is from RNAcentral.
UUCCUACGGGACGCAGCAGUGGGGAAUAUUGCACAAUGGGGGAAACCCUGAUGCAGCGACGCCGCGUGAGUGAAGAAGUAUUUCGGUAUGUAAAGCUCUAUCAGCAGGGAAGAUAAUGACGGUACCUGACUAAGAAGCCCCGGCUAACUACGUGCCAGCAGCCGCGGUAAUACGUAGGGGGCAAGCGUUAUCCGGAUUUACUGGGUGUAAAGGGUGCGUAGGCGGCUAGACAAGUCAGGUGUGAAAUACCACAGCUCAACUGCGGGGCUGCACUUGAAACUGUAGAGCUUGAGUGAUGGAGAGGG